GAUGGAGGAAAGCGUGAUGGAUGUGAUGAUCGAAGCUAACGUGGACCAUGCAUUUAUUGUGUCACUGCUUGUGAUUGUAGAUGAAAUAAAGCAUAACAAAUUCCAUAAAGUUGUGAAAGGCGUAGCGAAGGUCACAAUGGCGACUGCGAAGGUCGCAAUGGUGGUUGCCAUGGCUGGAAUCAACUGCCCAUGAACAUCCUAAACAAGUUUUACCCUCGAUCUUAGAGAUUUAAUGAGAACCUUACAUAAGUAGACCAACGUCUUGUUGAUGAUAUACCUUACACUUGUUUAGUGAUAAGUGAAGAAAUUUG
This 311-nucleotide long non-coding RNA is filed under the name Lupinus angustifolius (narrow-leaved blue lupine). Its description in RNAcentral is "long non-coding RNA (LANG_LNC002175)". The record is from RNAcentral. Lineage: Eukaryota; Viridiplantae; Streptophyta; Magnoliopsida; Fabales; Fabaceae.